GGUCCGAUAGCAGCCCUGCCCGUGGCUUAUAGGACGACUACAGAGGAGCCAACUUUCCAAUCACUGACUGAUCCCUCAGACGGCUCAAGGAUUUUUCCUGACGACCUCGAAUGUAAAAUGAGUUGUUGCAAAGAUUUUGUUGACUUUGGUGAGAAGUGUAAAGAGAUUGGCAUCCAGUACGUUGGAAUAUGUUGUGGCAACGAAUCCAAAUUCACCCGUAGCCUCGCUGAAUCCUUAGGACGUAAACCAGAGGCGUCACGCUACUCGACUGAUAUGUCUCAGCACUACACGUUAGGCAAUGAUCCUUCGUUUAAGAAGUGCUACACAGUUGAACUCAAAGCAGCGAUUUAAUUUGAGGUUCAUAUUAAGCCUACUAGAUAUUGUCCCAGUAAUGAAUAUCCGCUAAGGCAGUUGAUUUAUAUAGCCAUAAAAGUUCUUAAUUUUUGUUCAAUUACUUUAUUAAGUCCAAUGACUGUGAAACAAACCCGGGACCAGGGUCUAGGGGGACUAAGAAUAUGUCAGUACAUAAAUCACUUUAUACAUUUUCGAAGUGUGAAAAACAAAAUUACUGAAAUUGCAGUGUACUCAGAAACACACAAUCCUGACCUGAUUAUAGGUAACGAAUGGCUCGAUGAAUCCAUCUUUAGCUCAGAAAUGUUCCCAGCAAAUUAUUCUGUUAUUAGAAAAGACAGACCGCCAAACUCCAAAGGUAGUAGUUACGGAGGUGUCCUUAUAUGUACUAGAAAGGGUAUUCCUGUCAUCCAUAAAUUAGGUUUAGAUACUGACGUGGAAAUUGUAUCAUAUGGCAACAGAUUGAUGUUUUCCGAGCCAAACCGCCUAGUGCAUAGCUAAUUAGGCUUCGAGAUUCAAAAUGCGUGAGUAUAGUCAUGUUUGGAUUGCUGGGGACUUUAACAUGGAUGCAACUGAUUGGCCUAAUCAAGAUUUGGAUUCUGGUGUACCAUGUUCGUACCCGACUAUAUGUAAAGAAAGUUUGGACUGGAACAGAUGGUCACAAAUCCCACUAGGAUCAACAGGACACUGGAUCUGUUCUUUACUAAUAAACCAAAUAAAUAAGGGACCACGAUGGUAAUUGUUGAGAUUAUAGUUGCUAGGAAAAUUCUUUUAUUUGAAAAAGCUAUCAUAUAGGCGAUUUGAGAAAGGAUGCAAAUGGGAUAAGUAGUGAUUGUUUUCGAAAAUAGAACUUAAAAUGAAAACAAAAAUAGGACAAAUAACCUCUGGAACGAAUUCAAAGAGUAGAAAAUUCCCCCCACCUCCAAUUAUUAUUACGGUAUAAUAUUGUGAAAUAAAUUGAUAUUGGUUGUACAGUAUAGGCUUUAAGCAUAAUCUGUAUCGUAUGUACCUACCAUGCACUGUAAAAAUAAGCAAACUGUCUAAAUAACAUUAUUUAAACUAUUAUUAACUAUUAUUAUUCUCUCAUAGUAGGUUCUUUCUUACUAUUGAAACUGCAUUACGAUGUUCGCAACUUUGUAUACAACUUUAUCAUAAUCCUAAGUUGUAAGGUUGUUGUAUUUAUAUCAUACAGCUUAGUAUUCUUAUUCUUAUUCUCAAAAUUUAUCUUAUCUAUAGAAUCUUGUAAGUUGCUAAAUUUGUAACAUUGUUUAAAAUCGCAACUGCAUUUUGUGUGUUUUGCAUCAGCAAAUACGUUAAUAACAUGAUCAAAGUUAAUGCUUCAAUACUAAGAGUGUCAAAGCAGAUAGUAUCUCUUGUCCCAUAGUGUCUCUGAGAUAUGGCAGGAUAAGCUUUAGCUUGCUGAGUGAGCGCUCACAACUAGCGAUUGAAAUACUGUAGCUGCUGUCAACAUGAUUUGAAUUGCUACUCGCAAGUUCGGAAAAACGUUCUCAUCACCGUACUGUACGAUAAACUGCGUUUGGUGUUUGUUCUACUUUUCAACAGCAUCCUGCAAUUUAUUACAUCAUUGUAGGUCUACAGCUCCUUGCCAACUAAGCUGGUAUUUUCCACCUUUCGAAACCUACUGGCUUGGAAGUGUAUACUGAAAUACCCAAAAUUUCCGUGACAUGUGUAGUCAUUACAGAACAAAAUUUAAAAAAAGAGAGAAAACGGUCGAAAUGGCCUUAAAAUAAAUCACAAUCUAUAAAUUUGCCAAUAAAAUUAACUACAUUCAGAUUCUUUAACUGGAAAAUAUUCAUGUCUGACGACAUACAUCAAUUUCGUAAUAUUUUUCUAAAAAGUGCAUAUUUUUUUUACUCACUCUCCUAUUUCAGCGCCCCAAACCCGGCGCCCGGAGCACGUGCCCAACCUUGUCCCCACCCCUAUCUACGCCACUGUAAGUUCACUGAGCCUGAUAGUCAGAUGAUGAUAUUAUACCAAUAAAGAAACACAAGAAUAUUAAAAUUA
Anneissia japonica is the source of this 2376-nucleotide long non-coding RNA. RefSeq lists it as uncharacterized. NCBI's taxonomy places the organism in Eukaryota, Metazoa, Echinodermata, Crinoidea, Comatulida, Comatulidae. The transcript is spliced from 2 exons. The record is from RefSeq and is a predicted model, not a curated record.